UAGGGGGCAAGCGUUAUCCGGAUUUACUGGGUGUAAAGGGAGCGUAGACGGUGAUGCAAGUCAGAAGUGAAAGCCCGCGGCUCAACUGCGGGACUGCUUUUGAAACUGUGUAACUGGAGUGCAGGAGAGGUAAGCGGAAUUCCUGGUGUAGCGGUGAAAUGCGUAGAUAUCAGGAGGAACACCAGUGGCGAAGGCGGCUUACUGGACUGUAACUGACGUUGAGGCUCGAAAGCGUGGGGAGCAAA
This 245-nucleotide ribosomal RNA is filed under the name uncultured bacterium. RNAcentral describes it as "partial 16S ribosomal RNA". It matches the Rfam family "Bacterial small subunit ribosomal RNA", at positions 528 to 772 of the family's 1533-position model. The record is from RNAcentral.